Molecule: ribosomal RNA, 440 nt
Filed under: uncultured bacterium
Lineage: Bacteria
Description: partial 16S ribosomal RNA
Rfam family: Bacterial small subunit ribosomal RNA
Source: RNAcentral
CCUACGGGAGGCAGCAGUAGGGAAUAUUGCUCAAUGGGGGAAACCCUGAAGCAGCAACGCCGCGUGGAGGAUGAAGGUUUUCGGAUUGUAAACCCCUUUUGUUAGAGAAGAUAAUGACGGUAUCUAACGAAUAAUCACCGGCUAACUCCGUGCCAGCAGCCGCGGUAACACGGAGGGUGCAAGCGUUACUCGGAAUCACUGGGCGUAAAGAGGGCGUAGGCGGGAUAGCAAGUCAGAUGUGAAAUCCUAGGGUUUAACCAUAGAACUGCAUUUGAAACUGUUAUUCUGGAGUAAGGGAGAGGUAGGUGGAAUUUGUGGGGUAGGGGUGAAAUGCGUAGAUAUCAAGAAGAACACUGAUUGCGAAGGCAGCCUACUAGAACGUAACUGACGCUGAUGCGCGAAAGCGUGGGUAGCAAACAGGAUUAGAUACCCUUGUAGUC